Panicum virgatum (switchgrass) is the source of this 106-nucleotide small nucleolar RNA. The record is from RefSeq and is a predicted model, not a curated record. Lineage: Eukaryota; Viridiplantae; Streptophyta; Magnoliopsida; Poales; Poaceae.
AUCCCGUGGUGUGGACAUGCUGGAUGUACUCCUGAAGUUGCUCCCAAGCUUCAGGAUUGGUCUCAUUGGACGCUUGCUGAAAACUCGAAAUCCUUUCACGGAGGGC